GAUAAACGCUGGCGGCGUGCCUAACACAUGCAAGUCGAACGAAGCUCCCGGACUUGAGUUUUCGGACAAGGGAAAGGGAUGACUUAGUGGCGGACGGGUGAGUAAUGCGUGAGCAACCUGCCUUUCAGAGGGGGACAACAGUUGGAAACGACUGCUAAUACCGCAUAAUGUAUUCGAGUGGCAUCACUUGGAUACCAAAGAUUUUAUCGCUGAAAGAUGGGCUCACGUCUGAUUAGCUAGUUGGUGAGGUAAUGGCUCACCAAGGCUGCGAUCAGUAGCCGGACUGAGAGGUCGAACGGCCACAUUGGGACUGAGAUACGGCCCAGACUCCUACGGGAGGCAGCAGUGGGGAAUAUUGGGCAAUGGGCGCAAGCCUGACCCAGCAACGCCGCGUGAAGG
Molecule: ribosomal RNA, 399 nt
Filed under: uncultured bacterium
Lineage: Bacteria
Description: bacterial SSU rRNA
Rfam family: Bacterial small subunit ribosomal RNA
Source: RNAcentral